This 415-nucleotide long non-coding RNA is filed under the name Phoenix dactylifera (date palm). Its description in RNAcentral is "long non-coding RNA (PDAC_LNC016867)". The record is from RNAcentral. Lineage: Eukaryota; Viridiplantae; Streptophyta; Magnoliopsida; Arecales; Arecaceae.
CUUCUUUUUCUUUUCUUUUCCUUUUUUCUUUCCCUUUUUCUUUCCUUUUCUUCUCUUCUCCUUUUUCUUUUCCUCUCCUUCCCGAAGCUUCUUCUUCUCCCUUCAUCUCUUUCACCCUUUCUCCUCCUCUCUUCUCCGACGAAGGGAGGGCGGCGAGCGGAAGGGAGGACGGCGAGCGGGAGGGGGCCGAGCCACGACCGGCGGCGUCCGCGGCCAGGCCCCGCAGCAUCCCCAGCCGAGCCUGCAGCGCUCUCGGCCGCGCCUACGGUCGACGCUCAUGUCGACGGUGCUCGCGGCCGAAGCCGGCGGCCGCCGCACGCGACGACGAGCUGAUGAGUCCCCUCUUCCUCUUUUCUUCUCUAUUUCUUUUCUUCUUCCCAGAGCUUCCUCUCCUCCUCUCUUUCCUUCCUUCUCU